RNAcentral lists this ribosomal RNA (93 nucleotides) under Pezicula rhizophila. Its description in RNAcentral is "partial 18S ribosomal RNA". It matches the Rfam family "Eukaryotic small subunit ribosomal RNA", at positions 1735 to 1827 of the family's 1831-position model. Lineage: Eukaryota; Fungi; Ascomycota; Leotiomycetes; Helotiales; Dermateaceae. The record is from RNAcentral.
GUUCACCCAGGGCCGGAAAGUUGUCCAAACUUGGUCAUUUAGAGGAAGUAAAAGUCGUAACAAGGUCUCCGUAGGUGAACCUGCGGAGGGAUC